RNA transcript from Rhea pennata, 1634 nucleotides. It is a transcript of the gene named histone-arginine methyltransferase CARM1-like, with no coding region annotated. NCBI's taxonomy places the organism in Eukaryota, Metazoa, Chordata, Aves, Rheiformes, Rheidae. The transcript has 14 exons. The record is from RefSeq and is a predicted model, not a curated record.
CGCAGCGCGGCUCGCUGCCGGCGGCGGGAAUCAUGGCGGCCGCGGCGCCGCAGCCGCAGCCGCCGCUGCGCUACAGCGUGAAGCUGCUGCUGGUCAGCGAGGAGCAGCUGCCGGCGGGGCUGCCCCUCACCAGCCCCGGGCAGAAGGCGCUGCAGCUGGAGGUGCAGCCGGGGGAGCAGGACGCUGACGUGACGGUGACAGACGCUGAUGGAGUCUGUGUGUUUAAAUGCUUGGUUAACAGAGACACUGAAUACUGUCGUUUGGGAAAAGAAUCUAUGUUAAUUACACUAGGAUACAACAGUGCCUUGCUCCAAUUCAAGUCACAAGCUGAAUACAGCACAUUUUCAAAUAUGUUGAAGAGGUGCUGUAACCAAAAAAGGGAAGACUCUGUGUUCAGUCAGCGAACAGAUGAAGCAUCUGCUGCUCAAUAUUUUCAGUUUUAUGGCUGUCUAUCUCAGCAACAGAAUAUGAUGCAGGAUUUUGUGAGGACAGCCACAUAUCACAGCGCUAUCCUACAGAACCACAUAGAUUUUAAAGACAAGGUGGUCCUAGAUGUUGGCUGUGGAUCAGGAAUCCUUUCAUUUUUUGCAGUGCAGGCUGGUGCUAGAAAAGUCUAUGCAGUUGAAGCCAGUUCAGUAGCAAAAUACGCAGAGCUGUUGGUGAGAAGUAACAACCUUUCUGACAAGAUCACAGUUCUGUCAGGAAAAAUUGAGGAGAUCUCCCUAUCUGAGAGUGUUGAUGUGAUAAUUUCUGAACCGAUGGGUUAUAUGCUGUUCAAUGAAAGGAUGUUGGAAAGUUACCUCCAUUCAAAAAAAUGGCUGAAAUCAAAUGGAAUGAUGUUUCCAACAUUUAGUGACAUUCAUUUGGCUCCUUUUUCCGAUGAGCAGCUGUACAUGGAACACUACUCCAGAGCCAAUUUUUGGUACCAAGAGUGCUUUUAUGGGGUCAAUCUGUCCAGUCUUCGCAAUGCAGCUGUGGCUGAGUAUUUCAGACAACCUAUUGUGGACACUUUUGACAUAAGAAUUCUGAUGGCUCGGACAGUGAAGUACACCAUUAACUUUACAGAAGCUGCAGAGGAAGAUUUGCACAGAGUGGAAAUACCUUUUGUUUUCCAAAUGAUGCAGUCUGGACUAAUCCAUGGCCUGGCCUUCUGGUUUGAUGUGGCAUUUGUAGGAUCACUGGUAACUGUUUGGUUGUCAACUGCACCAAUGGAGCCUCUCACUCACUGGUAUCAAGUACGCUGCCUUCUUCAGACUCCCCUCUUUGCUAAAGAGGGGGAAACUCUCUCAGGGAAAGUCUUGUUUGUUGCCAAUAAGAGACAAAGUUAUGAUAUUCAGAUUGUGGCUGUGGUGGACCAGACAGGAUUUAAAUCUGGUAACAUUCUUGAUUUAAAGAAUCCAUUUUUUAGGUAUGCUUAGAAUAUAUUGUAAUACGGCAUCUGAAAAGCAGAAAUGAGAUUCUCACCAAGGUCAGCAGUAAUGAAUGCUGAAGAAAUUGCAUUGAUCAGUGGCACUCAGUUCAAGAGGAUAUAGGGAAACUAAAAAAAGCUCUGGGGACGCAGGAGACAAGAGUGAUGUUUUGAUUUAGCAACACUGAACUUGAACAGAUCUGACUGCACUAUGAAAUACAGCAUU